Molecule: ribosomal RNA, 253 nt
Filed under: uncultured bacterium
Lineage: Bacteria
Description: partial 16S ribosomal RNA
Rfam family: Bacterial small subunit ribosomal RNA
Source: RNAcentral
UACAGAGGUCUCAAGCGUUGUUCGGAUUCACUGGGUUUAAAGGGUGCGUAGGUGGGUUGGUAAGUCAGUGGUGAAAUCUCCAGGCUUAACUUGGAAACUGCCAUUGAUACUAUCAAUCUUGAAUACCGUGGAGGUCAGCGGAAUAUGUCAUGUAGCGGUGAAAUGCUUAGAUAUGACAUAGAACACCAAUUGCGAAGGCAGCUGGCUACACGAAUAUUGACACUGAUGCACGAAAGCGUGGGGAUCAAACAGG